This 604-nucleotide long non-coding RNA is filed under the name Vigna radiata. RNAcentral describes it as "long non-coding RNA (VRAD_LNC009961)". The record is from RNAcentral. Lineage: Eukaryota; Viridiplantae; Streptophyta; Magnoliopsida; Fabales; Fabaceae.
GGCACAACACAAUAGACAAACAAUUGCAAGGGUGAGCUAAUUGUAUAUAUAAAACAUGCAGCAUAUCAAGCAGAUAAAACACACAUCCUAUACAUGUUAUAUUCUAGACUUGACUCGUCCGGACUUAGAAUAAAAGUCGAGCUAUGGCGGGUCUUGCACCCGUGGUGACUUAUGAAGCUUGGGUUCCCCACCCUGUCACACUCACGAGGUCAGUCUGUUCCGCGCCUUGAGGCAUACUGGGAGCCCCCAAGACUAAGACCUCCUGCUACUCCUCACCACAUGGUUCAAUCUCUCUAGAUGAGCUUGAUUGACCAUUGGAGCGUCAAGAUGACCCCCAAGACUGAGCUUCCCAUACUUUCAUUUUAAACACUAAGAAUCUCACCGAGAGAUUCUACACAGAUGGAACUUAGUUUACCACUUGGAUCAUACUUUCAUCACUUUGUAAUCAUAUACUUUUUGCCACAAUUAACACAUACACAAUCUCAACAAUAUACAUUAACUCAUUCAUCACAAGUUAUAAAAGCAACAGUUCCAUAAUCUAUCAAUACCAGAAUCUUUAUAAUUUAUUUUCAAUGCCUACACUCAUAUACACUGAAAACAUGUU